Schistocerca gregaria is the source of this 5484-nucleotide long non-coding RNA. RefSeq lists it as uncharacterized. The transcript has 4 exons. The record is from RefSeq and is a predicted model, not a curated record. Lineage: Eukaryota; Metazoa; Arthropoda; Insecta; Orthoptera; Acrididae.
AGGGUUCGCUGUUUUUCAGAGUUCUCGUAGCAGAUGCGCGCAGUUCUUCGUUGUAAGAUUUCUGUUUCUGGUGUUGCUUUCUGUACUACUAUGAAAAAUAGUAAAUCUUAGAAUCUUGGGGAUUGGUAAGAAUGGAGUGGGAUCUGUGUGGAAGAAUUGAUCCAGUAGCAGACUGUAAUGAGUGUUAUCGUUGGUACAAAGUUUAACUCUGAAGUUAGAGAUACUCUCAGUGUCUUGCUCUCGGGUACAGCGUGAAAUUAAGUUUAGAAAUCGAGUAUUUUUGCAUUGAGUAGUAAAAGUAUUUAGGUACAUUUAAAUGUUGUGUACGGUAUUGUAAGUGAGGUACAAGCUUUACCCAUAUUUUUAUUUUGUACGUGCGUCUGCGAAGUGUUGGUAUACCGCCAUAAUGAGGGAGAUCAAUAAGUUCGGAAGAGCAACAGAAAGAAAAACAUCCCGGUUCUAGUCGCACCUGGACUGCAUGUCGCGAUCAUUUUAAAGACGAUGAGUUGGAUUGGCAUUGAUAGUCUCUGCUUCCUACAUCGGCUAGACGCUUCUUCAGACACUGUACUCAAUAGCAGAAAUGCCGUCAUUCUUUUGUCCAGCAUACUAUUUACCGGCGUUUUGUAUAAAGUCAUGAACGAACGCUUGUCAACUUGGAUUGCCGCUGAAAUAAACACACUUAUCUGACCGCUGUUGAAUCGGAAUUCGUUGCUAAAUUAUCGGAUGAAGAUGAAAGGUCGGAAAAUGGCAGCCCCUUUGGUACGGCCCACCACAAGUAUUUUUCAGACAGCUCAUAGCCUACGGUAUUUUAGCAAACGUAAAGCUGAACGACGUAUUGAGCACACAGUUUUGAACAGAGAUUGUCGCAUUACCGUCGUGUGUACAUUUUGAUCCUGACAGUAAAGCCGGCGAACAAGAAUAUCAGGAAUUAUGCAACUGGUGUAUGUGCACGGCCAAAAUAAGACACAAGCUACCUGUUAAUCAACCUUGUAUGUAAAUGGGGGCCGUCGAAGUGGUCAAUUUCGACCUCAUAACUACAGUUGAAGGACGCUGUAGCACUUGUCAUAACAAUGAGUAGAUAGACAUUGUGGACACACAGAAUAUUUGUUUGUUUGAGAAAUUGUUAUUAGAAAACCUUUGGAGGGACUGCAACAAAGGCUUCAGAAGGAUAAGAAAAGAACUGGUGUCUUCAUCAGCACUAAUCUACUGACACGCAUUCAACACAAUGAACUUUAAGAUCAGUUCAGAGUUAUUAUUUUGGACAAAUACACGGUUGUUAACAAGGUGAGGCAGACGAUCUUAUCUGGGUGGGAGCAGAAGAUUUGGUGCGCCCUGGAGGGUCUUCACUGACACUGACAGUGUCAGUGGUUGUGGCCAGGGGCUACAAAAAUGCGGGCGAGACUUCUCUCGUAAAGGUGCUGGACAUUGGUACAUUACAUUUCUUUGGAUAUGCCAAAGCAGCUGCUAUAGCUAUUUCACACUAAGCUGGAGGAUUCAAUGUUGGCAGAUAUCUUCUAUGUUCGAUACGUCAACUGUCGUGACUCAGAGGGCAGACUGUCACUUUGGACAAGAUACUUAAGUCUCUUAAUCUCAGUCCAGAGCUGCUCAAAAAUGUCACAGUAAUGAAGAAUGAGAUUCACUUGUUACCCACAGAAAUGGCCAGUGAGUGUGGGAGUGUCUGUCUGCCAGUCUCAGCCACACACACAGCUGGGUUGGAUGCUCUCUGAAAGAAGAUCGAGGGGCAGUUAUGCAUGCAGUGGCUAGGACGUCGAUGGCCGUCAGUGUGUCCUCCGAAGGGUAGGAAGGUGGCUGUCGUCGGUGUGAACACCGUCCUGCAGUAGGAGCGGUAAGUCUACGUCGAGGUCGUCAUCUCCAAAGAGCAGCUCGACCAGUUCGAGGGGAGGUUCCUAUGCGGUAGGCCGUACUGCUUUGAGUGACCAGUAUGUGAGAAACCACUGUACUGGAGGUACUGAAAUGUAGCACCUGACAUUUGUUGUUGUGCCUCCCAUAUAUUAUGUAAAAUGGACUAUGAUACAGAUUGUUUUUCCUGACAUUGUUACCAUCACCUGCAGUGACACAUGGAAGGAAAUUGGUUGUUACUAUUAAUAAGUUAAUGUUGUUGCAGAUAUUAUCCAUUUUGAAAUUCUAUAUUUAUAUUAGGUGUCAAAAUGAAGAUCUGAAUUGUUUCUGUAAUGACAGUAAUAUUUAUCUAACAUGACUUGCUUUGUAUUGCGAUAUGUUUAUAACAAGCUUCACUCUUAUAAUAAUGAGUUAGACAAUAAGCCCAGAGCAUAUUGUUUUCAUGAUUGGUAACUGGAGUUGUGAAACUAACAUAGGCUACCAGCAGCACGCAUAGUCUGUGUGGCAGUUUUCCUAGCUUUGGUCAGUUAAGGUUGUACCCACAUUAUCUGUACAUCAGGUGUGUUACAUACCUAUCAGGUGUUACCUCAUAACUGUCACUUCCUUACAUAUGCGAACAGUGUCUGGCUGCCCCAUAAACUGGAAGUGGUUUUCCAUCUAGAAAUUGACUGAGGAUAUGUUAAUGGAUAGGUAACACGCGGAAAAUAUUUUUUCUACGUGGUUAUCCUCCUGUCUGCUACAUAAUAAUAAAAAGUAUUGACAAAAGAAAACUGACAUCAAUGUUGAAUUCAGAUUUUAUCUAAAAAUUGUUGAUUUGUAACAUAAAAUAGAGGGAUGUUGGAGUAAAACUGAAGAAAACCAUACAGAUUUAUCAUAUAGCACUACAAAUUUAUCAUAUAGCAUUAGAAAACACAAUUUCCUCAACCAAUAGAUACAAAGGCUGACAUUGUCAGUGUUUAAUUCAGAUGUUAUUUGAAAAUUUUAGAUAUGUAACAAAAAGCAGAGGGAUACUGUAGUAAAACUAAAGAAAAAACAAUACAGAUUUACCAUAUAGUCCUAGGAAACACAAUUUCCAUAACAAAAAGUGUAUCAGACUAUGUUCCAGUACUUCAUUGAACUUAAAUGUGACAUGUUUCCAUUAGUUUCAGAAAUGACUAUCACAUUUAUCCAUAAUAACAGAAAACACUUGCAUUUGAGCAUGAUGAAGAGCAUUUUGUUGAGUACAACAUAACAAUAUAUACGUAAUUUUUCUGUUUCUGCAUGUGAACUGUACUUUCAUCAAAAGUAAUUGCUGUGGUUACAUAAAAGCGCAGAAGUUACGCGACCUGCUACAGUAAAAUCCUGCUUCUACACUUUUCAAGGGACUUGAAAAAAUGACAUGAAUUGCAGGAAAAUGUAAAAUGUGGGAAAUUACUUUUUAAGUUUUACUGGUUAUGUAUAGGGCUCCUUUUCCACUUUCGUAGUUUUAUAUGAUAUAUGUAGAUAAUAGGCAACAUACGUAGAUAAUAGGCAACAAAAUACUCUUCCGGGAAUGUUUAUUAUUUACUAAAGGUUAUCUGAAUUUAGUGCUGUGUUUAGCAGGUGACAUUACAUUCACAGACACUUUAGCACAACAGAUCGCAUUAAAAAUAACACAAACCAAGCAGUUGCCUUGUUGAUUUAUGUCUUUGCAAAGCUAAAGUGAUGCAAUUGGCAUUUUAGUUUCUAUACUUGAUGCCUACGAAAAGUGCAGGUCAAGUGUAUACUGCAUUAAAGCUCUCUCUAAACUGCAUUAUUCUUAGUGUAACUUUCCUCUGAAAGUGACAUCAGCAGAUGUAUACAGUACCAGCCAAUUAUCUAGCUGUUUGUGAUUUUUUUUUUUUUUUUUUUUUUUUUUUUUUUUUUUUUUUUUUUUUUUAAAUAUAGGUGUGUGAAAUAUUGUAAAGUGUGUUAAAUGUGGCACUACACUACAGAUCAAUCUGUCGCUGUAGCCUUUAUUUCACAAUUACUGGCUUUGUCAGUUCAUAGCCAAAUUAUCACUUUCAAAACAACAUAGACAUCAGGGUUACGAUAGAGAUUGGUCUGUAUCCAGAAUCAAGAUUGCAGGGAAGGGAACCAUACUAAAUUUCAGCAUUUCAAGCACACAUUUAUAAAGCAUUGAUAAGCCAUUUUUAUUUAUUAUACUGACCUUCAGUUUCAAUGGUCUAUAAAUCAUGAGGAAAAAAAUGCAAAAUUGUGAGUUCUUUUAAUUUUUUUGAUGAAUGUUUUCAGUGAGGUUUUUGAGUUUGUAAAGACAAUGUAAAACUUUGUCAUCAACAUCUGCAGCUGAAAUAUAUUUUUUAAUUCUUUCCACUGUUACAUUAACAACUGCAAAUGAGGAACCUCAUUGUCCUCUUCACUAUCAUUGUCACUUUCAGCAUUUUAUUGUGUGUGAAAGUCUAUCACAUUAUCAACAGAAACACUUUCCAGAGCGACAACAUCAUUAUCAAUGUGUAUGAAAUUAUGAAUGGGAUGCUGCAGCUGCAGCUUUUCUCAUGGUGAAACAAGCAGUUUUUCACCAUUGUCACUAACACUCGGGUCUGGUGCGUUACAUUCAUUUCUGUUGUCGGCUUCAAGGAAUCCCGUUUUUCGGAAGCAAUUGGAGAGGGUGGCACGCAAUAUAAUGUGAACCAUCUAAAAUUGACACUUUAAAGGAGGCUGGGUCUUUCCCAACCUCCAUCAAAGUUAAUGCCUUCUGCACAAUCGUCUUCCUAGAGUGUGUUUUGAAGACAUGGAUAGUACCCAUAUCCUAAGGCUGUAAUUUGCUUGUGCAGUUUGGUGGCAGAAACUGUAAUUGCACAUUACGUAGAUUGAUAUUUCUGGGAUGCGCAGGGUAACAAGAGAAUAUAAAUGAUUAAUGGAAAAUCUCAUUUCACUCAGUACAGCUGAUUGAUACACACAACAGAACAGAAAAUUUACAUAUCCUAGAUUUUGGAUCUUUGUUCCUUCGUAAGGGAGGAGAAGGGGGGGGGGGGGGGGGGGAAGAAGGGAAAGUGGAUUCAGUUACAACCCAGGUUAUGAAGCAACAGGGGAAAGGUAAACAGGGAGGGUAGCAAAGAUGGAGGCAUGGGUGUCAGAGGGAAGCCAAAAAUAUUCUACUGUAAGUACUGUGCCAGCUUCAAACCAAAGAGGAUGCAUUCAGAAGUAAAGAGGUAUAUAGUAUAAAGAUAAACACAACUAUGUAGGAUGAAAAGAUGCGUGAAUGGCUAAAGAGGAAAGGGAAAGAGGAGAAGACUGAAGAGUCAAUGGGAGUGAGGUUGGUUAACAUAGGUUCAGUCCAGGGGGAUGGUGGGAUGGAAGGAUGUGUUGGAGUGCAAGUUCCCAUCUCUGCAGUUCAGAGGGUCUGGUGUUGGGUGGGAGAAGCCAAAUGGCACGGAGGGUGUAGCAGGUUCCUAGGUCCCAAGAAUUAUGCUGGAGGGCAUGCUCUGUUACUGGGUAUUGGACAUCUCCUAGGCGGACAGUUUGUCUGUGCCCAUUCAUGCUCUCAGCCAGUUUAGUUGUGUGCUCAGCCUGUUUAGUUGUCGUCAUCCCAAUGUAAAAGGCUGUGCAGUGCAGGCAUGUCAGAUGGUAAAUGAAGUGUUGUUUCACAUGUGGCCCUGCCUUAAA